AUUGAACGCUGGCGGCAGGCCUAACACAUGCAAGUCGAACGAGUGGCGGACGGGUGAGUAAUGUCUGGGAAACUGCCCGAUGGCGGGGGAUAACUACUGGAAACGGUAGCUAAUACCGCAUACCAUCGGAUGUGCCCAGAUGGGAUUAGCUAGUAGGUGGGGGAACGGCUCCCCUGGGAGACGAUCCCUAGCUGGUCUGAGAGGAUGACAAGCCAAACGGGAACGGAGACACGGUCCAGACUCCUACGGGAGGCAGCAGGGGGGAAGAUUGCACAAUGGGCGCAAGCCUGAUGCAGCCAUGCCGCGUGGAGGAAGAAGGUCUUCGGGUUGUAAAGUACUUUCAGCGAGGAGGCGUUACUCGCAGAAGAAGCACCGGCUAACUCCGUGCCAGCAGCCGCGGUAAUUC
RNAcentral lists this ribosomal RNA (406 nucleotides) under uncultured bacterium. RNAcentral describes it as "partial 16S ribosomal RNA". It matches the Rfam family "Bacterial small subunit ribosomal RNA", at positions 29 to 526 of the family's 1533-position model. The record is from RNAcentral.